AAAAGGUUCUCCUCGUGUCAAUAACUCUGAUGUUGUGUCUAACGUUCAUGGCGCGAUUUUUCUGCUUCUGCAAUAUGAUCUUCAAAUAUUUCCCGUUUCUGAUUCUGCAGAGUAACAAUGCCUGCGUGUGUGCGCGUGCGCUUGUGGCAAGAAAUUCUCCUACUGCCAAUGUUAUUUUUAACUCAUUAAUGCACGUGCGAGCGUAAAUACUUCCACGGCUCGAUGAGAGUUGCACUUUACAAGCAACGAUGUGUGUGUGUGUGUGUGUGUGUGUGUGUGUGUGUGUGUGUGUGGGCGCGCCCGCCCUCGGGACAAGCAGCGGCCAGCAGCUGUUUGACGCACGCAUGGAGCUGUACACGGGGGCGAAAUGCGGGCUUUUCUCCUUCUAUUUCUUCUUCUUUGCUCCGAUGUGUUGACGUUUGUAACAAUCGCGUGUGCAGCAGGUUAUUUCUGGGGAUUUUUCUGCCGGUUUAGCGCAGCUGACCUGCAGGAGGUGGACACACGCCGCAGAUCUCGCCGUUGCGCCUGCCUACACCUGGCUACAGGAGACGCGUUUGCGUUAAUCCCUCAUCCUGAUACAGAUCAGAGGAGUAUAAGGACUUGGAUGCAACACGGCGGUUGAGGGAGUGCGAGCUGGCAACAGAUAAGAGGGACGUUUUAAACUGCAGAUGGAAACGAGCUCUAAAUGCUACACGCAGAAGACAAUCAGGCCGAGAGAACCUGCAAACCCGAGCUACUGUUAUCUCUUGAUGAGACUCUUCCAUCAGAAUACUGCAUCAGUUCAUGUGAUUGUGCCCAUAAGAAAAUCCUUUUCCUUUUUUUUUCGGUGCGUCUGAGUCCACUAGGUGGUGACAACCUUUUUCCUGUUGAACUAUUACAUUACGGACAAAAAUAAAGUCUUUAUGUCCUCACUCUCUUUGGCCCAACAUGCUUGCAGAGCAUUUCCUUCAUGCUAUUGUGUGCAUGCACUCGUAGAUCACAGUUCAUGACAAUAAUAUCAGGGUGCUUGUCAGGGUUUUAUGACUUAGACGGGUCUAUUUGUAAAACUAUAUUCUGCAGUGGCCAGUGAGCAGCAUAACCAGGUGUGUGUUCUCAAUAGGAUUAGUAGCAAAAUAUUGUUCUGCCAGUGUUUUAAUUGUUGUUAUUGCAGUUUUAACAAAUCAGUGGCAUUCAAAUAGAUUAAAAUUUGAUGUUUUCUAAAUGAUGAAAAAUUUGUCCUCAACCACCACAUAAAAGUAGUAUGAAUCAGUUAUUGUUGUUAGUAGUAGAUUGCUAGUUUGCCAUUUUAGUGCAUUAAAUUACUAAUAAUUUGCUGUUUUGGACACAGAUUAGCAGAAAUCUAUGGAACAUAUAACAUUGUAUUCAGUUUUUUUUGUACAUGUACAUUGUGUGUGUGUGUGUGUGUGUGUGUGUGUGUGUGUGUGUGUGUGUGUGAAAACCCACUCCGCCCUCAAUUAGCCGCUGACGGACAGGUCAAUGGCCCGUCAGCACAUCCUCGCUGACGGGCGAACGGCGACACAUUCCUCCUCCUGUCGCUCCGGCCGUUCCGUCCUCACCCCUCUCAGCCUCCCACUGCGGUAGGUCAGGUGGGGACGGGGGAAACAUCAAAAAUAGGCGUAGAUGGCGCUGAAGGCACACCGAGUGAAAGAGGAGAUUUUUAUAUUUUUUAUAUCUCCGCUGUUUCAAGUUCACUGAUCCCCCCCCCCCCCCCCCCCCCCCCCCCCCCACACACACACACACCACCCCACCAAACCAGACUGCUCGGAUGUCCUGCCCUUUCAACACACCUGAGCUCUCCCCUCUGUUCCACCACCCCCACCACCACCACCACACACACACACACACAUACACACACACUUCUUUUUCUCAGCUAUAUCUCAGUGCUACAAAUCCCUCCUUACCCCAGCAGAAUUCCUUCCUUCCCACAUUUGCUCCUCUCCCAUUUCCACCUUCCCUCUCAAUGGGC
This 1966-nucleotide long non-coding RNA is filed under the name Takifugu rubripes (torafugu). RNAcentral's name for it is "lncRNA (ENSTRUG00000029485.1)". The record is from RNAcentral. Lineage: Eukaryota; Metazoa; Chordata; Actinopteri; Tetraodontiformes; Tetraodontidae.